GACGAACGCUGGCGGCGUGCUUAACACAUGCAAGUCGAACGGAAGGCCCUGCUUUUGUGGGGUGCUCGAGUGGCGAACGGGUGAGUAACACGUGAGUAACCUGCCCUUGACUUUGGGAUAACUUCAGUAAACUGGGGCUAAUACCGGCUAGGAGCUCCUGCUGCAUGGUGGGGGUUGGAAAGUUUCGGCGGUUGGGGAUGGACUCGCGGCUUAUCAGCUUGUUGGUGGGGUAGUGGCUUACCAAGGCUUUGACGGGUAGCCGGCCUGAGAGGGUGACCGGCCACAUUGGGACUGAGAUACGGCCCAGACUCCUACGGGAGGCAGCAGUGGGGAAUAUUGCACAAUGGGCGGAAGCCUGAUGCAGCAACGCCGCGUGCGGGAUGACGGCCUUCGGGUUGUAAACCGCUUUCGCCUGUGACGAAGCGUGAGUGACGGUAAUGGGUAAAGAAGCACCGGCUAACUACGUG
RNAcentral lists this ribosomal RNA (467 nucleotides) under uncultured bacterium. RNAcentral's name for it is "partial 16S ribosomal RNA". It matches the Rfam family "Bacterial small subunit ribosomal RNA", at positions 28 to 507 of the family's 1533-position model. The record is from RNAcentral.